GACGAACGCUGGCGGCGUGCUUAACACAUGCAAGUCGAACGGAGAGGCUCUGCUUUUGUGGGGUGCUCGAGUGGCGAACGGGUGAGUAACACGUGAGUAAUCUGCCCUUGACUUUGGGAUAACUUCAGGAAACUGGGGCUAAUACCGGAUAGGAGCUCCUGCUGCAUGGUGGGGGUUGGAAAGUUUCGGCGGUUGGGGAUGUACUUGCGGCUUAUCAGCUUGUUGGUGGGGUAGUGGCUUACCAAGGCAUUGACGGGUAGCCGGCCUGAGAGGGUGACCGGCCACAUUGGGACUGAGAUACGGCCCAGACUCCUACGGGAGGCAGCAGUGGGGAAGAGUGCACAAUGGGCGGAAGCCUAAUGCAGCAACGCCGCGUGCGGGAUGACGGCCUUCGGGUUGUAAUCCGCUUUCGCCUGUGACGAAGCGUGAGUGACGGUAAUGUGUAAAGAAGCACCGGCUAACUACGUG
This 468-nucleotide ribosomal RNA is filed under the name uncultured bacterium. RNAcentral's name for it is "partial 16S ribosomal RNA". It matches the Rfam family "Bacterial small subunit ribosomal RNA", at positions 28 to 507 of the family's 1533-position model. The record is from RNAcentral.